This 302-nucleotide long non-coding RNA is filed under the name Setaria italica (foxtail millet). RNAcentral's name for it is "long non-coding RNA (SITA_LNC006171)". The record is from RNAcentral. Lineage: Eukaryota; Viridiplantae; Streptophyta; Magnoliopsida; Poales; Poaceae.
CUAGAGCCGCCACCAGAGGCGGACCUCCAAACCCCAGCCACGCCCGCCACCGCCUCCGCGUCCGCCAAGAAGAAACACUCCAAGAAACGCAAGGCCACCGAGGCCUCCACCGACGCCUCCACCGAGGCCGCCGGCGACGCCUCCACCGAGGCCGCCGGCGACGCCUCCACCGAGGCCGCCGGCGACGCCUCCACCGAGGCCGCCGCCGACGCCUCCACCAAGGCCGCCGUCGACGCCUCCCUCAACGUCACCGUCGAUGCCUCCCUCACAGGCGGCCGAACCGCAGCCGCCCCCGCCCCCGC